GAACGCACCUUGCGCCCUUUGGCCAUUCCGAAGGGCAUGCCUGUUUGAGUAUCAUGAACACCUCAACUCUCAUGGCUUGCCAUGAUGAGCUUGGACUUUGGGGGUCUUGUCGGCCUGCGGUCGGCUCCUCUCAAAUGGAUCAGCUUGCCAGUGUUUGGUGGCGUCACAGGUGUGAUAACUAUCUACGCUUGUGGCUUUCCAUCAGGUAACCUUCAGCGAUGGAGGUUUGCUGGGGGCUCAUAAAUGUCUCUCCUCAGCGAGGACAGCUUUUUUGAACGUUUGAUCUCAAAUCAGGUAGGACUACCCGCUGAACUUAAG
Molecule: unclassified non-coding RNA, 318 nt
Filed under: uncultured fungus
Lineage: Eukaryota; Fungi
Description: sequence contains 5.8S rRNA gene
Source: RNAcentral